Molecule: long non-coding RNA, 1142 nt
Organism: Mus musculus (house mouse)
Lineage: Eukaryota; Metazoa; Chordata; Mammalia; Rodentia; Muridae
Product: predicted gene, 39732
Exons: 3
Source: RefSeq, a predicted model, not a curated record
GGCUGUCUCUCAUUCAUCUUUCUAUUCUGAGCACUGACACAGGACUGGGCCCUGACUGAACGCUGUGACUCUGUGAUUGGAUAGGAAUCGGUUAUUGUUUUCCAGCAGUAAAAACGAGAAGGUGAGUGGAAGACAAGAAAGACAAGCUUGGCCUAUCAAGUAGAAAAUGAUACUGCCAGUGCUGACCAAAAAUUCUGAUUGGGUAACAUUUCAUCUCCGAAGGGGAUCAAGGCAAAACCUCAAGGCAGGAACCUCGAGGAAGCAGAGACCAUGAGGAAGCUGCUUUCUGUGUUCCCGUUACUCUACAGCCCAAGAGUACCGCCUCUCCCACAGAACCCUACUGUGUGUCAAGUUGACAAGACCUGUCUGCCCCCAGCAUCUUGCUAUGUAUCCUUGACUAGCCUAGAGCUCACUAAGCAGCCCAGGCCACAGUACCCUCCCUCUAAGGCUCAGCCUCCCAUGUGCCAGGAUUACAGGUAAAUGCCAAUCAACCCAGCUGUUAAAUCAAAUUACCUCCUCUAAGACAUGCAAAUGGUUGGUAAAUCCCCAGCAGAGUGCAUCACAUUGAAGACUAAAGACAAGUCAGAUCAUUACAAAGGUUGGCAGAAGCUGGGAAGAUUUACACCCCUCCAAUGCUGCUUCAGUCACUUGGAAAAGAAUCUAGCUUUUCUCAUGACUAAACCUUGAGUUUCUGUAUAAGCCUCUAAUUCUACUCUAUCCGUGAGAAUGGAAACAUACUUCCACAUAAAAGCUUAUGUAUGAGUGUUUGUUUAUAUUAGCAUUAUUUAUAAUAACCAACAAAAGGAAACAUCUAAAGGACCAGCAGGCAAAUAAAGAAAACACAGGAUUUUCACACAACAGAGUGUUACACACACACACACACACACACACACACACACACACACACACAGACAGUGUUGAUGCAGUAGAGACAAACAAAACACUAGCUCCAACUAUACCAGGCAAACCAAGCUAAUUGUGAAGAGACACACAUGUCAUCAUCAGUUUCAUAUGAAUGAUAUAGUUUAUGGGUUUGGGGUAAAAUGAAAUUGCCUUACACUGGUCAUGGUGCUAGUGUACACAUCUAUAAAUAGGAUCUAUUGAUUUGAACACUUUAGGUAAGUGAGUUGUAUAAUAUUUGA